AGGAAAAGUACAUAGAUGAAAAUGUAAUCAAGGGACAGGAAGGAAACAAGACGUGUGGUUUAGAGAACCAUGAGCGGGGACAGUGAGACUGUGCUAGGCAUCAGUGGUCGAAAUCAGUGGAUUGGUUUACGCUCCCUGUGAGCCACGUGAAGGUGGACGGGGAGUGCUGGAUUGGUUUACGCUCCCUGUGAGCAAUGUGAAGGCAGACGGGGAGUGCUGGAUUGGUUUACGCUCCCUGUGAGCAAUGUGAAGGCUGACGGGGAGUGCUGGAUUGGUUUACGCUCCCUGUGAGCCACGUGAAGGUGGACGGGGAGUGCUGGGUUGGUUUACGCUCCCUGUGAGCAAUGUGAAGGCAGACGGGGAGUGCUGGAUUGGUUUACACUCCCUGUGAGCCACGUGAAGGUGGACGGGGAGUGCUGGGUGGGUUUACACUCCCUGUGAGCCACGUGAAGGUGGACGGGGGAGUGCUGGAUUGGUUUACACUCCCUGUGAGCCACGUGAAGGUGGACGGGGAGUGCUGGGUUGGUUUACACUCCCUCUGAGCAAUGCGAAGGUGGACGGGGAGGGCUGGGUUGAUUUACAUUCCCUGCGAACAAUGUGAAGGUGGACGGGGAGGGCUGGGUUGAUUUACAUUCCCUGUGAACAAUGUGAAGGUGGACGGGGAGUGCUGCAUUGGUUUACGCACCCUGUGAGGCACGUGAAGGUGGACGGGGAGUGCUGGGUUGGUGUACACUCCCUGUGAGCAAUGUGAAGGUGGACGGGGAGUGCUGGAUUGGUUUAUGCUCCCUCUGAGCAAUGCAAAGGUCGACUUUUGAAAAACAUAAGGAGAUAUCUGUACCUUGCACCAAAUACAUAAGUAAUUUCCAGAUGGAAUAGAAAACUGUAUUUCCCCACCACCAACACAACCAAGCCUCACGAUAAAUCACAGAAAACAAAACGGACCGGGCGGGCAGGCCUCGGCCGGACGCAGAUGAGGCCACCUAAAGCACACCCUUGGCCAAGAUCUGCCCAGGGAGACCAUGGACACCGCAAGGCCUGGGUGUGAGAGAGUGUUCGUAGCGCGAGUCGCAGCUUGAGGAUGGCUGUCCUGCCUCCGCCUGCAACUGCUACAGACCCUUGUGCAGAGGACAGCCUGGGAGAGGGGCUGCAGCCAGGAGGCCUGGUCUGGAUGAUGCCCCAGCCAGUCAGGGAGACACUGGGCAUUUCUGUUCCUCGAUCACUGCUGUCGGAAUGGUCAAAGGAUCCAGAUCUGGCUGGCGCCCAGGGAGCAUUUGCUCUCAUCCAUGGUCGAGGGUAGGGGCUGUUGAUGAUGACUUUCUGGUGGAGAGUUGGCUGAAUCUUCCAAGAUGAAGUGAGCAUAUUCCCCACUGAGAACCCCUUGGCCAGGGCUCUGGCCACAGUCCGUGUGAGUAGGGCUCCCAGUGGGUCCUUGGAAGGUUGGUGUGUGGUCCCAGCUGUGCUCUUCCACACGGGGUGGGUCCGAGGAGCCGAG
RNAcentral lists this long non-coding RNA (1492 nucleotides) under Homo sapiens (human). RNAcentral describes it as "non-protein coding lnc-SPATC1L-4:1". The record is from RNAcentral. Lineage: Eukaryota; Metazoa; Chordata; Mammalia; Primates; Hominidae.